AGCGAACGCUGGCGGCAGGCCUAACACAUGCAAGUCGAACGGACCCUUCGGGGUUAGUGGCGGACGGGUGAGUAACACGUGGGAACGUGCCUUUUGGUUCGGAACAACCCAGGGAAACUUGGGCUAAUACCGGAUAAGCCCUUACGGGGAAAGAUUUAUCGCCAAAAGAUCGGCCCGCGUCUGAUUAGCUAGUUGGUGAG
Molecule: ribosomal RNA, 200 nt
Filed under: uncultured bacterium
Lineage: Bacteria
Description: partial 16S ribosomal RNA
Rfam family: Bacterial small subunit ribosomal RNA
Source: RNAcentral